UAAGUCAAAUCAGUAUGCUGUAC
Molecule: microRNA, 23 nt
Filed under: Bos taurus (domestic cattle)
Lineage: Eukaryota; Metazoa; Chordata; Mammalia; Artiodactyla; Bovidae
Description: bta-miR-12016
Source: miRBase by way of RNAcentral